GGGGCUCUAGCUCAGCGGAAGAGCACUCGGUUUCGAACCGAUAGGUCGGGGGUUCGAAUCCCUCGAGCCCCG
This 72-nucleotide transfer RNA is filed under the name Deltaproteobacteria bacterium. RNAcentral describes it as "tRNA-Arg". It matches the Rfam family "tRNA". From Rfam's summary of the family: Transfer RNA (tRNA) molecules are approximately 80 nucleotides in length. The record is from RNAcentral. Lineage: Bacteria; Pseudomonadati; Myxococcota; Myxococcia.